UAUAGAACACAAACAUAUAUUUCAAAAGCCGGCCGCCCCUUUCUCAAUCUGGUUUACGAUUCGGAGGCAGCAACACAGGAGGAAGCUCCACUGCCGCCUGCUGCCGAGGAGAAGCUGCCGGAGAAGGAAGAAGAUAAGAAAGCAGAGCAAGGAGAUGAAAAGAAAGCCGGCCACCCCCUUUCUCUCAGACCGUCCAAGCCGUCAUUCCUCUUUCUCUCCAAGCCCAACCCUUCUACCGAAGCCACUAAGGGUUCAAUCGACCGUCAACGCAGCGUUAGAGCAGAGAAGAUAGCGGCACAGCUGAUUGGCGUCGAGAUUGAACAAGGAUUCGCCCCUUUCUUUAUGCCCUAACCCUAUCUCCCUCUCUCAUUCGAAGCCCUAAAUUUGAAGGACACGAAUUGAGACUUCUAAGAAGACAUUAGAUGCUCCCGAUUUGGUUGAUGAUUACUACUUGAAUUUAUUAGAUUGGGGUAGCAGCAAUGUUCUUGCCAUUGCUCUUGGAAACACGUUUUAUCAGCAAGAAUCAAAGAAGCUACAACAACAAAUAGAUAUGCUUCAAAAUACCAACAGGUAUUUGACGGGCGAAGGCUGCUCUUUAAAUGCGAAGGAAUUGGAGCAGAUGGAAAACAGACUUGAACAAGGCAUUGCAAGAAUCAAGUCUAAAAAGGAAGAAAUGAUACUAGGAGAAAUUGAAAGUAGCAAGAAACGGCUGAAACUCAAUUUUGGGUUUGAAAUGAUACAAAGGGUUUGAAGAAUCAAAUCCAAACCUUAUAAACAUGAAGCAGGCCGUUGGAUUAAAUCACAAACUACCAAUUUUGGGUGUUUUUUGCGUUAAGAAUAUAAUUCAAGGUCUUCAUGAAAUUAGCACUAAGGUAUUGGUGAAAGCGUAAGUCAUAGUAAUUUGAAACUGAUCUUUGAGUUGAGAAUGGCUUUUGAUUGUUGUGGGAGGAGUGAUGCUUGCUUGCUGCCACUACUAGAGAUUAUGGUUAUUGGGUGUGUAUUUGGAAAGAGGUAAUGUUGGGCAAGUUUAUGCAUUUGCCCGGUAGUGUCAUGAUACUACAUACUGGAAAUUAUCCUUCUCUUAGUGAAGUAGUACAUUGAUUUCUAUCUGUGGAUGCAACUAAUGUAUGUGGAUGAUGAUGCUACAGUGUAUAUAUGUUUGUUAGUUCCUUGAGGAUUCAUCUUGCUGUAAGCUUCUUUGCAUAACUAACAUUUCCUGAUGAAUAUGCAUGCACUAGUAGAAAUUGUUUACCUAUUAAAUAAGCCAUGCUUAAGCUUUAAUACUGGGAUUAUUUCCUUGACGCACUGAACUUGCUUUGUGUAAUACCCCUAAUUCCAAAAAGGAUAGUCCUGGUAUUUUCUUUAUUGUUUAAAUAUUUUCUUUAUUGUUUAAAUUUCAUUUUUAUUGUUUAAGUGUAUAUAUGUUUAUUUAAUUGAUUUAGUUGUAGUUAAUUUAUUUAAUUGUUUUAUUUUUUGCUUUAAUUGUAUUAAUUACUUAAUUGUUAUUUAAUUGUUUUGUUGUAAUUAGUUGUUUUAAUUAGCUGUUGCUUUAAUGGUAUGAACUUAUUUAAUUAAAUUUAAUUAAUUUUUACGUGACUGUAGGAUUGGAUGCAUACGUUAGGUUUAUAGUUCACGGCCGUCAUUAAAUUUAACCUAGCUUUCUUUAUGGGCCGAGUUUCAGUUUAGGGUUUAGUUGGACUUGGGUUUAAGGGUGGUCUAUAAAUACUCACCUAGGAUGU
Long non-coding RNA from Cornus florida, 1739 nucleotides. RefSeq lists it as uncharacterized. The record is from RefSeq and is a predicted model, not a curated record. Lineage: Eukaryota; Viridiplantae; Streptophyta; Magnoliopsida; Cornales; Cornaceae. The transcript has 5 exons.